This 506-nucleotide ribosomal RNA is filed under the name uncultured bacterium. Its description in RNAcentral is "partial 16S ribosomal RNA". It matches the Rfam family "Bacterial small subunit ribosomal RNA", at positions 29 to 523 of the family's 1533-position model. The record is from RNAcentral.
AUUGAACGCUGGCGGCAGGCCUAACACAUGCAAGUCGGACGGUAGCACAGAGGAGCUUGCUCCUCGGGUGACGAGUGGCGGACGGGUGAGUAAUGUCUGGGGAUCUGCCCGAUAGAGGGGGAUAACCACUGGAAACGGUGGCUAAUACCGCAUAACGUCGCAAGACCAAAGAGGGGGACCUUCGGGCCUCUCACUAUCGGAUGAACCCAGAUGGGAUUAGCUAGUAGGCGGGGUAACGGCCCACCUAGGCGACGAUCCCUAGCUGGUCUGAGAGGAUGACCAGCCACACGGGAACUGAGACACGGUCCAGACUCCUACGGGAGGCAGCAGUGGGGAAUAUUGCACAAUGGGCGCAAGCCUGAUGCAGCCAUGCCGCGUGUAUGAAGAAGGCCUUCGGGUUGUAAAGUACUUUCAGCGGGGAGGAAGACGAUGUGGUUAAUAACCGCGUCGAUUGACGUUACCCGCAGAAGAAGCACCGGCUAACUCCGUGCCAGCCGCCGCGGUAA